Molecule: ribosomal RNA, 451 nt
Filed under: uncultured bacterium
Lineage: Bacteria
Description: partial 16S ribosomal RNA
Rfam family: Bacterial small subunit ribosomal RNA
Source: RNAcentral
GUGGGGAAUUUUGCGCAAUGGGGGAAACCCUGACGCAGCAACGCCGCGUGAGUGAUGAAGGCCUUCGGGUCGUAAAGCUCUGUCAGAGGGGAAGAAGUGUGGGGUGGCUAAUAUCCAUUUCACUUGACGGUACCUUCAAAGGAAGCACCGGCUAACUCCGUGCCAGCAGCCGCGGUAAUACGGAGGGUGCGAGCGUUGUUCGGAAUUAUUGGGCGUAAAGCGCGUGUAGGCGGUUUUUUAAGUCUGAUGUGAAAGCCCUGGGCUCAACCCGGGAAGUGCAUUGGAAACUGGGAGACUUGAAUACGGGAGAGGGCAGUGGAAUUCCUGGUGUAGGAGUGAAAUCCGUAGAUAUCAGGAGGAACACCGGUGGCGAAGGCGGCCACCUGGACAGGCAUUGACGCUGAGGUGCGAAAGUGUGGGGAGCAAACAGGAUUAGAAACCCUUGUAGUCC